Long non-coding RNA from Orcinus orca (killer whale), 1206 nucleotides. RefSeq lists it as uncharacterized. The record is from RefSeq and is a predicted model, not a curated record. The transcript is spliced from 3 exons. NCBI's taxonomy places the organism in Eukaryota, Metazoa, Chordata, Mammalia, Artiodactyla, Delphinidae.
GGCACAUUUAUAAAAUUGAUUAUAUUCUGGUUAUAAAACAAGACUCUGAAUAAGCAAGAAAUUUAAAAUAUAUAACCAAUAUUUUACCAAAGAGUUGGAUAUUAAAAACAUACUUCUGAUCAUUAUGUAGGUCAAAGAUAAAGUCGCAAUGGGAAUUAGAAUUUUAUUAAUUGAAUGAUAAUGAAAAUAUGCCAUAACAAAACCUGGGGGUUGCAAACAAAGCUGUGGUCACAGAGAAGUUUAUGUAUUCAAAUUAUAUUCUCUAAAUGUAAAAGGGAAAGGAGUAAAGCAACUAGAAGAUAACCCAUCACCCUGAGGUGGGCAGCUUCUGAACUGUACCUGGUGGGGAAGGCAGGGCAGAACUUCAGGAGGCCAGCUGAGAGCACGGUGAACACCUUGUCAGGAGCAGUCUCCAAGAAAGAGCAUUUAAUGUACAAAGGGAUGACUAAAAUAUAUUUAAAAGCUAGCACCCUGACUCCUCUUAAGGAUGACUUACAUUGCUGGGGAAAAUAUAAGAAGUGCUCGAUGUAGAAGGUGAAUAGCUUUAUAAUUCUCAGGAGAACCUUCGUACCAGAACCACACAAUGAAGAACUUGGAGUCCCCGUGGCUAAUCCAGCAGAGAGAAAAGGAGAAACAGAGAUGCGAGAGAAAAUAAAUGGAACUCUUGGUGCUGCUGCAGGCCCAAGUCCAGACUCGCAGGCUCUCUGGACCUCUGAGGAGGAUAAGCACUACACAGAACCUCUGCUACAGAACCAAACAUAUUGAAAUGAUUCUUUACGAAGAUACUGAAACAACAGAAAAAGAAUACAUGACGAUUGUUUCUCCUGAGGGUUCAGUUACCUAGGGGGCCUUUAGCAAACUUUGAUUGAUAAAUCUAACCUUUCCUUCCUUGGCAAUAGUUGAUCACACUGUGAGGAAAACAAGUUAGAGAAUGGAAAAAUAAUAUUUGGAUUUCAACGAAAUAAUAAAGAUGCAGGGACUAUCUUUGACUUUUGCAAGAUUUCUGUGUGUGUGUGUCCCCAUGAUGAAAACAUCAUUAAAGUAAAAUAUCAUGAAUAGACUCUUAAGAAGCAGAGUCUACUUAAAGUCCUGGAAAAUAUGAAAGCACUAAUAUUCAUGGACAACUCUACACUCUGAAAGUUACUCCAAAUUUUGUUGAUCUCUAUCUUGUCUAGGAGUUUUUCAAAUUUCCUACCAUGAUCAUUU